GGGGUUGUAGCUUAGACAGGCUAUAGCACUCGGCUGAUAACCGAGAGGUCACCGGUUCGAAUCCGGUCAACCCCA
Transfer RNA from Thermoplasma acidophilum DSM 1728, 75 nucleotides. It matches the Rfam family "tRNA". From Rfam's summary of the family: Transfer RNA (tRNA) molecules are approximately 80 nucleotides in length. Their secondary structure includes four short double-helical elements and three loops (D, anti-codon, and T loops). Further hydrogen bonds mediate the characteristic L-shaped molecular structure. tRNAs have two regions of fundamental functional importance: the anti-codon, which is responsible for specific mRNA codon recognition, and the 3' end, to which the tRNAs corresponding amino acid is attached (by aminoacyl-tRNA synthetases). tRNAs cope with the degeneracy of the genetic code in two manners: having more than one tRNA (with a specific anti-codon) for a particular amino acid; and 'wobble' base-pairing, i.e. permitting non-standard base-pairing at the 3rd anti-codon position. The record is from Rfam. Lineage: Archaea; Methanobacteriati; Thermoplasmatota; Thermoplasmata; Thermoplasmatales; Thermoplasmataceae.